GUAGUCUGCAACCCGACUACAUGAAGCUGGAAUCGCUAGUAAUCGCGGAUCAGAAUGCCGCGGUGAAUACGUUCCCGGGUCUUGUACACACCGCCCGUCACACCAUGGGAGUCGGAAAUGCCCGAAGUCUGUGACCUAACCGCAAGGGAGGAGCAGCCGAAGGCAGGUCGGAUGACUGGGGUGAAGUCGUAACAAGGUACC
Molecule: ribosomal RNA, 201 nt
Filed under: uncultured bacterium
Lineage: Bacteria
Description: partial 16S ribosomal RNA
Rfam family: Bacterial small subunit ribosomal RNA
Source: RNAcentral